This 492-nucleotide ribosomal RNA is filed under the name uncultured bacterium. RNAcentral describes it as "partial 16S ribosomal RNA". It matches the Rfam family "Bacterial small subunit ribosomal RNA", at positions 29 to 507 of the family's 1533-position model. The record is from RNAcentral.
AGUGAACGCUGGCGGUAGGCCUAACACAUGCAAGUCGAACGGCAGCACAGUAAGAGCUUGCUCUUACGGGUGGCGAGUGGCGGACGGGUGAGGAAUACAUCGGAAUCUACUUUUUCGUGGGGGAUAACGUAGGGAAACUUACGCUAAUACCGCAUACGACCUACGGGUGAAAGCAGGGGAUCUUCGGACCUUGCGCGAUUGAAUGAGCCGAUGUCGGAUUAGCUAGUUGGCGGGGUAAAGGCCCACCAAGGCGACGAUCCGUAGCUGGUCUGAGAGGAUGAUCAGCCACACUGGAACUGAGACACGGUCCAGACUCCUACGGGAGGCAGCAGUGGGGAAUAUUGGACUAUGGGCGCAAGCCUGAUCCAGCCAUACCGCGUGGGUGAAGAAGGCCUUCGGGUUGUAAAGCCCUUUUGUUGGGAAAGAAGAGCAGCAGGUUAAUACCCCGCUGUUCUGACGGUACCCAAAGAAUAAGCACCGGCUAACUUCGUG